RNAcentral lists this transfer RNA (76 nucleotides) under Fibrobacterales bacterium. RNAcentral's name for it is "tRNA-Met". It matches the Rfam family "tRNA". From Rfam's summary of the family: Transfer RNA (tRNA) molecules are approximately 80 nucleotides in length. Their secondary structure includes four short double-helical elements and three loops (D, anti-codon, and T loops). Further hydrogen bonds mediate the characteristic L-shaped molecular structure. tRNAs have two regions of fundamental functional importance: the anti-codon, which is responsible for specific mRNA codon recognition, and the 3' end, to which the tRNAs corresponding amino acid is attached (by aminoacyl-tRNA synthetases). tRNAs cope with the degeneracy of the genetic code in two manners: having more than one tRNA (with a specific anti-codon) for a particular amino acid; and 'wobble' base-pairing, i.e. permitting non-standard base-pairing at the 3rd anti-codon position. The record is from RNAcentral. Lineage: Bacteria; Pseudomonadati; Fibrobacterota; Fibrobacteria; Fibrobacterales.
UGGCGGUUUAGCUCAGUUGGUUAGAGCGACGGAAUCAUAAUCCGCAGGUCCGGGGUUCAAAUCCCUGAACCGCCAU